CCCCACACCGCACCGUCCCCUCCGCUCCCUGGCCCUACCUGUCGCCCCCAGCGUGCCCCACACUGCCAGUAGCAGCGGCGUCGGUCCGAGCCCGCUCGCCAUUCACUCAGCCGCUCUGCGUUCCGUCCUCUUGCCGUCCGCUCCGCAGGUGCCGGCCGCUGAGCAGAGCGCUGCUGUCAAUGCUUCCGCAGCCGGGGGCGGGAGAGGAGACGGGUCUUCUGCCGCGGACGCGAGCUCAGGGCGCAACCCCGAAGUAUGAAAUGACUCUGGAAACCCUCUGGAGUAGCCGGCGGCGCCGGGAGCCAGGUGAGCACGUGACUGCAGGAAGCUGACUCAGCCAGAGCUCAAACCCAGGACUCCCAUAUAUGGGCUUAUGCGGGCAUAAGGCCCAGGUGAUGUCUUUUUCUUUUUUUUUUUAGAUUCAUUUUAUUUAUUUGAAAGACAGAAUUACAUACAGAGGUAGAGCCAUAGAGAGAGCUUUUCCAUUCCUCUGGUUCACUCCCCAAAUGACCACAAAAGCCAGAGCUGAGCUUAUAGGAAGCCAAAAGCCAGGAGCUUCUUGCAGGUCUCUCACACCGGUGCAGGGUCCCAAGGCCACCCGAACCUGCUUAGAAGAAAGAAACCGUGGCUCUGGGUAUUCACUGGCCUCACAUGGUUUAAAGCAAAACCUUCAGAUACUUUUUUAUAAAAAAGAUUUAUUAAUUUAUUUAUUUGGAAGUCAGAGUUACAGAGAGAGAGGUCUUCCAUCCACUGGUUCAUUCCCCAACUGGCCACAAUGGCUCGAGCAGCACCAAUCUGAAGCCAAGAGCCACGAGCUUCUUCCAUGCUUCCCACAUGGGGCAGGGGCCAAGGACUUUGGCCAUCUUCUACUGCUUCCCCAGGCCACAGCAGAGAGCUGGAUCAGAAGUGGGGCAGCUGGGACUAGAACCGGCACCCAUAUGGGAUGCAGCACUACAGGCAGCGGCUUUACCGGCUACACCACAGCGCUGGCUCCAGUUGUUCUUCAUUGGGGAAACACUGCAAGAUAUAGGCACAGGCAAAGACUUCUUGGAGAAGACCCCCGAGGCACAGGCAGUCAAAGCCAAAAUUAACAAUUGGGGUUGCAUCAAAUUGAGAAGUUUCUGUACUGCAAAAGAAACAGUCAGGAGAGUGAAGAGACAACCGACAGAAUGGGAAAAAAUAUUUGCAAACUAUGCAACAGAUAAAGGGUUAAUAACCAGAAUCUACAAAGAGAUCAAGAAACUCCACAACAACAAAACAAACAACCCACUUAAGAGAUGGGCCAAGGACCUCAAUAGACAUUUUCCAAAAGAGGAAAUCCAAAUGGCCAACAGGCACAUGAAAAAAUGUUCAGGAUCACUAGCAAUCAGGGAAAUGCAAAUCAAAACCACAAUGAGGUUUCACCUCACCGCGGUUAGAAUGGCUCACAUUCAGAAAUCUACCAACAACAGAUGCUGGUGAGGAUGUGGGGAAAAAGGGACACUAACCCACUGUUGGUGGGAAUGCAAACUGGUAAACCCACUAUGGAAGACAGUUUGGAAAUUCCUCAGAAACCUGAAUGUAACCCUAUCAUAAAACCCAGUCAUCCCACUCCUUGGAAUUUACCCAAAGGAAAUUAAAUUGGCAAAUAAAAAAGCUGUCUGCACCUUAAUGUUUAUUGCAGCUCAAUUCACAAUAGCUAGGACCUAGAAUCAACCUAAAUGCCCAUCAACAUUACCCUGGAUAAAGAAAUUAUGGGAUAUGGACUCUAUACAAUACUAUACAGUAGUAAAAAACAACAAAAUCCAGUCAUUUGCAACAAGAUGGAGGAAUCUGGAAAACAUUAUGCUGAGUGAAAUAAAGCAGUCCCAAAGGGACAAAUAUCACAUGUUCUCCCUGAUUGGUGACAACCAACCGAGUACCAAAAAAGGAAACCUGUUGAAGUGAAAUGGACACUAUGAGAAACAUUGACUUGAUAAGCCCUAGUCCUGACUGUUGAUGAACAACUUAAUACUUUAUCCCUUUUAGUAUUUUUUUUGUUCUACUUAAUACUAUUGGUUGAACUCUGUAAUUAACACACAAUUAUUCUUAGGUAUUUAAAUUUAACUGAAAAGUGAUCCCUGUUAAAUAUAAGAGUGGGAAUAAGAGAGGGAGGAGAUGUACAGUUUGGGACAUGCUCAUUCGGACUUACCCCUGAUGGCAGAGCUAGAAACAUGCUGGGGAUUUCAAUUCAAUCCCAUCAAGGUGGCAUGUACCAAUGCCAUCUCACUAGUCCAAGUGAUCAAUUGCUGUUCACAAUUGAUCAUAAUGAUAGGAUUAAGAGUCAAAGGGAUCACAUAAACAAGACUAGUGUCUGUUAAUAUUAACUGAUAGAAUUAAAACGAGAGAACGAUCCAAUACGGAAAGAAGGAUACACAGCAGACUCAUAGAAUGGCAGAUGUUGUAAAAGCACUCUGGCCUCAGAAUCAGCCCUUAAGGCAUUCAGAUCUGGCUGAAGAGCCCAUGAGAGUAUUUUAGGCAUGGAAAGCUAAGAUGCUCUGGCAAAAAAAAAAAAAAAAAACUAAAUGAAA
Oryctolagus cuniculus (rabbit) is the source of this 2549-nucleotide non-coding RNA. Lineage: Eukaryota; Metazoa; Chordata; Mammalia; Lagomorpha; Leporidae. The record is from RefSeq and is a predicted model, not a curated record.